AUUGAACGCUGGCGGCAGGCCUAACACAUGCAAGUCGAGCGGAGCGGCGGACGGGUGAGUAAUGCCUAGGAAUCUGCCUGGUAGUGGGGGAUAACGUCCGGAAACGGGCGCUAAUACCGCAUACUAUCAGAUGAGCCUAGGUCGGAUAAGCUAGUUGGUGGGGUAAAGGCCUACCAAGGCGACGAUCCGUAACUGGUCUGAGAGGAUGAUCAGUCACGCUGGAACUGACAACCGGUCCAGACUCCUACGGGACGCACCCGGGGGGAAUAUUGGACAAUUGGCGAAGACCUGAUCCAGCCAUGCCGCGUGUGUGAAGCAGCUCUUCGGAUUGUAAAGCACUUUAAGUUGGGAGGCGUUACCAACAGAAUAAGCACCGGCUAACUUCGUGCCAGCCGCCGCGGUAAUAC
RNAcentral lists this ribosomal RNA (407 nucleotides) under uncultured bacterium. RNAcentral's name for it is "partial 16S ribosomal RNA". It matches the Rfam family "Bacterial small subunit ribosomal RNA", at positions 30 to 526 of the family's 1533-position model. The record is from RNAcentral.